This 488-nucleotide ribosomal RNA is filed under the name Cotesia sp. MS-2004. RNAcentral describes it as "partial 16S ribosomal RNA". The record is from RNAcentral. Lineage: Eukaryota; Metazoa; Arthropoda; Insecta; Hymenoptera; Braconidae.
UCACCUGUUUAUCAAAAACAUGUCUUAAUGAAAAAUAAUUUUAAGUCUAAUCUGCUCAAUGAAUAAUUUUAAAUAGCUGCAGUAUAAAUAACUGUCAAAGGUAGCAUAAUAAUUUGUUUUUUAAUUGAAAACUAGAAUGAAUGAUUAAAUGAAAUAUAAACUAUAUCAAAUUUAAAAAAUAAAUUUAUUAUUUAAAUAAAAAAAUUUAAAUAAUUUUUAAAGACGAGAAGACCCUAAAGAAUUUUAAUAAUAAAUUAUAAUAUAAAUUUAAAAUUUAUUAUAUUAAUUGGGGAAAUUUUAAAAUUUAAAAAAUUUUUAAUUAAAUAAACAUAAAUUUUUGAAUAUUUAAAAUUUUUUUAAAAAAUGAAAUUAAAUUACCUUAGGGAUAACAGCAUAAUUUUUUUAAAAAGUUCAAAUUUAUAAAAAAGUUUAUGACCUCGAUGUUGAAUUAAGAUUAAAUUUAAUAGAAAAUUAUUAAAAAUUUAAGU